Molecule: ribosomal RNA, 687 nt
Filed under: Strauchbufo raddei (Mongolian toad)
Lineage: Eukaryota; Metazoa; Chordata; Amphibia; Anura; Bufonidae
Description: partial small subunit ribosomal RNA
Rfam family: Bacterial small subunit ribosomal RNA
Source: RNAcentral
CUGCCCAAAACACCUAGCUAUGCCACACCCACAAAGGGAAUUCAGCAGUGAUUAACAUUGAGCAUUAGCGCAAGCUUGACUCAGUUAAAGUAAACAGAGCCGGCUAAUCUGGUGCCAGCCGCCGCGGUUACACCACGUGGCUCAAGUCGACCUCCUCCGGCGUAAAGCGUGAUUAAAGUUAUACACCACUAGAGUAAAAUUAAAACUGAGCUGUGACACGCCUGUUUAUUAAGAAACUCGAAAACGAAAGUUACUCUAAUUAAAUCAACUUGAAUUCACGACAGCUGGGGAACAAACUGGGAUUAGAUACCCCACUAUGCCCAGCCGUAAACUUUUAUUUACACUCAAAUCGCCAGGGAACUACGAGCUAAGCUUAAAACCCAAAGGACUUGACGGUACCCCACAUCCCCCUAGAGGAGCCUGUCCUAUAAUCGAUAAUCCACGUUUAACCUCACCAUUUUUAGUUAAUCAGCCUGUAUACCUCCGUCGUCAGCUUACCCCGUGAGCGUCAAUUAGUGAGCUUAAUGUUAUUUCACCAAUACGUCAGGUCAAGGUGCAGCAAAUGAAAUGGAAAGAGAUGGGCUACACUUUCUAUAUUAGAAGAAACGAAAAACUAUUUAUGAAACCUAGUUAGAAGGCGGAUUUAGCAGUAAAAAGGAAUCAGCAUGUCCAUUUUAACCCGGCACU